UGGGGAAUUUUGCGCGAUGGGGGAAACCCUGAUCCAGCAAUGCCGCGUGUGUGAAGAAGGCCUUCGGGUUGUAAAGCACUUUUGUCAGGAACGAAACGGUCUUGGUUAAUACCUGGGGCUAAUGACGGUACCUGAAGAAUAAGCACCGGCUAACUACGUGCCAGCAGCCGCGGUAAUACGUAGGGUGCAAGCGUUAAUCGGAAUUACUGGGCGUAAAGCGUGCGCAGGCGGUUUUGUAAGACAGAUGUGAAAUGCCCGGGCUUAACCUGGGAACUGCAUUUGUGACUGCAAGGCUAGAAUCUGGCAGAGGGGGGUAGAAUUCCACGUGUAGCAGUGAAAUGCGUAGAUAUGUGGAGGAAUACCGAUGGCGAAGGCAGCCCCCUGGGCCAAGAUUGACGCUCAUGCACGAAAGCGUGGGGAGCAAACAGGAUUAGAUACCCUGGUAGUCCACGCCCUAAACGAUGUCUACUAGUUGUCGGGUCUUAAUUGACUUGGUAACGCAGCUAACGCGUGAAGUAGACCGCCUGGGGAGUACGGUCGCAAGAUUA
Molecule: ribosomal RNA, 548 nt
Filed under: uncultured bacterium
Lineage: Bacteria
Description: bacterial SSU rRNA
Rfam family: Bacterial small subunit ribosomal RNA
Source: RNAcentral